RNAcentral lists this long non-coding RNA (614 nucleotides) under Rattus norvegicus (Norway rat). RNAcentral's name for it is "long non-coding RNA NONRATT010713". The record is from RNAcentral. Lineage: Eukaryota; Metazoa; Chordata; Mammalia; Rodentia; Muridae.
CUCCCACGGGAUUUGGGUGCAGAGAACUGUUUAUCCAGUCUGUCCCUUCAGGUUCCGGCGGUAUCUCAGGCGCAGGGGUCCUGCCGCUCCUGGGCCCUCCCCCACCAAGACACAUUCUUUUAAAAAGAUUUGUCAAUUGAAUUGUGUGUGUGUGUGUGUGUGUGUGUGUGUGUGCAUACAUACAGGCAGUGGUGCACAGGUGGAGGUCAGAGGACAAUCUGUGGGAGUCCUCUCUUUGCACCAUGUGAAUCCCAGGGAUCGAACUCAUGUGGUCCAGUUUGGCAACAGGUGUGGGUUUACCCACUAAGCUACCUUGCUGGUCCCCUGAUACACCAUCUUAACCCUUCAAGAUUUAUGGCUUCAAAACUUAGGAAAGUGUUUUAAUAUGCACGUGCAUCUAAUAUGCCAGCUAAUAUAUGCUAAGAGAAUCCGGUAAGACGCUGAGGCUGAGUACCAGGGAGCUGGCUCAAUCAGUAAAGUGCAUGAAGACCAGAGUUCAGGUGUCCAGCACCCACAUAAGAGUCUGCUAGUCCCAGUGCUGAGAAGGCAGAAACAGGUGAGCUCCAGGAGCUUGCUGGACAUCCACUCUACCCAAAUCAAUGAGCUCCAGUUCA